ACCAUGCAGUCGACGAUGAUCCCAGCUUGCUGGGGGAUUAGUGGCGAACGGGUGAGUAACACGUGAGUAACCUGCCCUUGACUCUGGGAUAAGCCUGGGAAACUGGGUCUAAUACCGGAUAUGACUCCUCAUCGCAUGGUGGGGGGUGGAAAGCUUUUGUGGUUUUGGAUGGACUCGCGGCCUAUCAGCUUGUUGGUGGGGUAAUGGCCUACCAAGGCGACGACGGGUAGCCGGCCUGAGAGGGUGACCGGCCACACUGGGACUGAGACACGGCCCAGACUCCUACGGGAGGCAGCAGUGGGGAAUAUUGCACAAUGGGCGCAAGCCUGAUGCAGCGACGCCGCGUGAGGGAUGACGGCCUUCGGGUUGUAAACCUCUUUCAGUAGGGAAGAAGCGUAAGUGACGGUACCUGCAGAAGAAGCGCCGGCUAACUACGUGCCAGCAGCCGCGGUAAUACGUAGGGCGCAAGCGUUAUCCGGAAUUAUUGGGCGUAAAGAGCUCGUAGGCGGUUUGUCGCGUCUGCUGUGAAAGACCGGGGCUCAACUCCGGUUCUGCAGUGGGUACGGGCAGACUAGAGUGCAGUAGGGGAGACUGGAAUUCCUGGUGUAGCGGUGAAAUGCGCAGAUAUCAGGAGGAACACCGAUGGCGAAGGCAGGUCUCUGGGCUGUAACUGACGCUGAGGAGCGAAAGCAUGGGGAGCGAACAGGAUUAGAUACCCUGGUAGUCCAUGCCGUAAACGUUGGGCACUAGGUGUGGGGGACAUUCCACGUUUUCCGCGCCGUAGCUAACGCAUUAAGUGCCCCGCCUGGGGAGUACGGCCGCAAGGCUAAAACUCAAAGGAAUUGACGGGGGCCCGCACAAGCGGCGGAGCAUGCGGAUUAAUUCGAUGCAACGCGAAGACCCUUACAAGGCUUGACAUGAACCGGAAAGACUUGGAAACAGGU
RNAcentral lists this ribosomal RNA (944 nucleotides) under Paenarthrobacter nicotinovorans. RNAcentral describes it as "bacterial SSU rRNA". It matches the Rfam family "Bacterial small subunit ribosomal RNA", at positions 53 to 1011 of the family's 1533-position model. The record is from RNAcentral. Lineage: Bacteria; Bacillati; Actinomycetota; Actinomycetes; Micrococcales; Micrococcaceae.